Molecule: transfer RNA, 58 nt
Filed under: Acidobacteriota bacterium
Lineage: Bacteria; Pseudomonadati; Acidobacteriota
Description: Acidobacteria bacterium tRNA-Pro
Rfam family: tRNA
About the family: Transfer RNA (tRNA) molecules are approximately 80 nucleotides in length. Their secondary structure includes four short double-helical elements and three loops (D, anti-codon, and T loops).
Source: RNAcentral
UGGCUCAGUUUGGUAGAGCACCUGGUUCGGGAUCAGGGGGUCGGAGGUUCAAAUCCUC